CAAUAGCGUAUAUUAAAGUUGUUGCAGUUAAAAAGCUCGUAGUUGGAUUUCUGGUGGGAGCGAUCGGUCUGGCGCUUAGCGCGAGUACUUGCAUCGUCUCCGGCCAUCCUUGGGGAGAGUCUGUCUGGCAUUAGGUUGUCGGGCAGAGGAUCCUCAUCGUUUACUGUGAAAAAAUUAGAGUGUUCAAAGCAGGCUUAUGCCGUUGAAUAUAUUAGCAUGGAAUAAUAAGAUAGGACUUUGGUACUAUUUUGUUGGUUUGCGCACCAAAGUAAUGAUUAAUAGGGACAGUUGGGGGUAUUCGUAUUCUGUUAUCAGAGGUGAAAUUCUUGGAUUUACGGAAGACGAACUACUGCGAAAGCAUUUACCAAGGAUGUUUUCAUUAA
Molecule: ribosomal RNA, 383 nt
Filed under: uncultured eukaryote
Lineage: Eukaryota
Description: partial 18S ribosomal RNA
Rfam family: Eukaryotic small subunit ribosomal RNA
Source: RNAcentral